RNAcentral lists this ribosomal RNA (282 nucleotides) under Klebsiella oxytoca. Its description in RNAcentral is "partial 23S ribosomal RNA". It matches the Rfam family "Bacterial large subunit ribosomal RNA", at positions 130 to 451 of the family's 2925-position model. Lineage: Bacteria; Pseudomonadati; Pseudomonadota; Gammaproteobacteria; Enterobacterales; Enterobacteriaceae. The record is from RNAcentral.
AGUGCAAUUUCGUUGCACUAUCGUUAACUGAAUACAUAGGUUAACGAGGCGAACCGGGGGAACUGAAACAUCUAAGUACCCCGAGGAAAAGAAAUCAACCGAGAUUCCCCCAGUAGCGGCGAGCGAACGGGGAGCAGCCCGGAGUCUGAAUCAGCUUGUGUGUUAGUGGAAGCGUCUGGAAAGUCGCAGGGUACAGGGUGAUACUCCCGUACACUAAAACGCACAGGCUGUGAACUCGAAGAGUAGGGCGGGACACGUGGUAUCCUGUCUGAAUAUGGGGGG